Long non-coding RNA from Heterocephalus glaber (naked mole-rat), 511 nucleotides. The record is from Ensembl. Lineage: Eukaryota; Metazoa; Chordata; Mammalia; Rodentia; Bathyergidae.
CAGGAAUCAGUGAUUUUAAAGAGGAUUCCAGAUUUCAGACUUGAGCUCCCAUUCACUGAAAAUGAGAGAGAUGCUAAGUGCAGUUCUGGACAUAUUAGGUUUCAGAUGCUUGUGAGGCAUCUAAUUUGAAUAUCAGUACUUAGGGUUAGAGGAGGAGGUGGAAGAGUUGGAAGUACAAAAUAAUAAAUGUGCAAAGCAAUGGAAAAUUCUCCAGAUAUUCCAAAAAGACCAAAGAACAGUAAAUGGAUGGAAAUCACAGAAACAAAAUCACAGAAAUCACAGAAACAGAAACAGCUGUUGGGUGGAUGUGUCCAUGACUUCUCAUCUGGAAUUAGCCUGUGGAUGUGUCCUCUCCAGCCAAUCCCUUCUUAAAGAACCAUCGUGACCCUUGGAAUACUGGUGGGGUCUAGUAGAUCUACCCAUCACCCAUGGGGUCCCCAUAGCAUGACGGCCAAAGACCGGUUACCACUCAAGAAAGAAGCUUCUGAAAAGCCUUUCUCCUAGACACCAG